AAUAACGCAAACCUGCUACAAAACCCAGACUGGAUUUCAUGGACGGUCGACUAGAUUCGGUUUGCAGGCGUGACUCCAAUUCAGCAAUCAGCUGUGAGACGGCCUGUGAGUGGCAUGUUUUCUGUGCAGCUUGGGAAGCUGCGUGUGUUCUCCAUUCAACCAUUUUUUAUUACAACGGCCAAUCCGCUACUUCUGGAGCAGCUUGUUUUAAGUUUCCAUGCUUUAUUGUAAAUAAACUUUCUAUAUACAGUAA
Molecule: long non-coding RNA, 253 nt
Organism: Solea senegalensis (Senegalese sole)
Lineage: Eukaryota; Metazoa; Chordata; Actinopteri; Pleuronectiformes; Soleidae
Exons: 3
Source: RefSeq, a predicted model, not a curated record